AUUGAACGCUGGCGGCAUGCUUUACACAUGCAAGUCGAACGGUAACAGCCCGCAAGGUGCUGACGAGUGGCGAACGGCUGAGUAAUGCAUCGGUACGUGCCCAGUCGUGGCGGGUAACUACUCGUAAUAGUACCUAAUACCUCAUACGAUCUAUGGUUGAAAGCGGGGGACCGUAAGGCCUCGCUCGAUUGGUUCGGCCGGUGUCAGAUGAGGUAGGUGGUGGGGGAUAGGCUCACUAAGCCAACGAUCUGUAGCGGUUAUGAGAGGACGACCCGCCACACUGGAACUGAGACACGGCACAGACACCUGCGGGAGGAAGCAGUGGGGAAUUUUGGACAAGGGGGGAAAGCGUGAUCCAGCAAUGCCGCGUGAAGGAAGAAGGCGUUCGGGUUGUAAACUGCUUUUGUACGGAACGAAACGGAGCUGGUUAAUACGCGGGGAUAAUGACGGUACCGUAAGAAUAAGCACCGGCUAACUACGUG
Molecule: ribosomal RNA, 482 nt
Filed under: uncultured bacterium
Lineage: Bacteria
Description: partial 16S ribosomal RNA
Rfam family: Bacterial small subunit ribosomal RNA
Source: RNAcentral